CCUACGGGUGGCAGCAGUGAGGAAUAUUGGUCAAUGGACGAGAGUCUGAACCAGCCAAGUAGCGUGAAGGAUGACUGCCCUAUGGGUUGUAAACUUCUUUUAUAUGGGAAUAAAAUGUUCCACGUGUGGGAUUUUGUAUGUACCAUAUGAAUAAGGAUCGGCUAACUCCGUGCCAGCAGCCGCGGUAAUACGGAGGAUCCGAGCGUUAUCCGGAUUUAUUGGGUUUAAAGGGAGCGUAGGUGGAUUGUUAAGUCAGUUGUGAAAGUUUGCGGCUCAACCGUAAAAUUGCAGUUGAAACUGGCAGUCUUGAGUACAGUAGAGGUGGGCGGAAUUAGUGGUGUAGCGGUGAAAUGCUUAGAUAUCACGAAGAACUCCGAUUGCGAAGGCAGUUCACUGGACUGCAACUGACACUGAGGCUCGAAAGUGUGGGUAUCAAACAGGAUUAGAUACCCUAGUAGUC
RNAcentral lists this ribosomal RNA (460 nucleotides) under uncultured bacterium. Its description in RNAcentral is "partial 16S ribosomal RNA". It matches the Rfam family "Bacterial small subunit ribosomal RNA", at positions 338 to 795 of the family's 1533-position model. The record is from RNAcentral.